RNAcentral lists this long non-coding RNA (440 nucleotides) under Homo sapiens (human). Its description in RNAcentral is "non-protein coding lnc-SASS6-5:1". Lineage: Eukaryota; Metazoa; Chordata; Mammalia; Primates; Hominidae. The record is from RNAcentral.
UCAUGUUCACCACAACUGUCCUCACCUGCAUUGCUUUUGUUAUGCCGUUUAUAUACAGGGGAGGCUGGAGUAGGCAUGCAGGUUACCACCCAUACCUCGGCUGUAUAGUGAUGACUUUGGCAGUUCUUCAGCCUCUUCUGGCAGUCUUCAGGCCACCUUUACAUGACCCAAGAAGGCAAAUGUUUAACUGGACUCAUUGGAGUAUGGGAACAGCUGCUAGAAUAAUAGCAGACUUAAAACAAUCUGGAAAAUGUGGGUGCAUCUCUUUUAAGGAUUGGUAGAUUACGCAGCCAUAAAAAAGAAUGAAGUCAUGUCUUUUGUAGCAACAUGGAUGCUGCUGGAAGUGAUUAUCCUACAUGAAUUAAUGCAGAAACAGAAAAUCACAUACCACAUGUUCUCACUUAUAAAUUGGCAGCGAUGUUCCUGGGAAUGGAUUUACC